AUCAGCGAGCCCAAUGCAGGGCUUGAAGUCGUGACCCAUGAGAUCAUGGCCUGAGCCAAAGUUGGAUGCUGAACCAACCGAGCCACCCAGGAGCCCAUGUUUCUCUUUUUUAUAAAAUAAGUAUUUCAGCCCUCAAUCUCAUCCCUGGAGGAAGCUUCUAUUAUCAUGUCUUGUGUAUCCUUUCAGGCCUUCUUGGGGGUUUAUGUAGGCCCGUGGGCACCAGAGACAGUGACAGCGGUUGUAAUUGUUAGAGUGUAUGUAGUCUUUCUUCACUGAAUUAGAGAUGAAUCAGACAGGUGUCUGCUUUUGAGCAGCUGGUAGCUGAGCACAGAGUAGGAUAGAUGAAUUCAUUCAUUCAUCUGGUUCCUCAUUUAUGCAUUCAGCAUAUUUUGUUGAAUUUUGUGUUAGCUGCUCUCAGGCCCCAGGAGUGCAAUGGUGAGCAGAAACAGACCUGUCUCUGCCUCCCUGGCUUUUGUAGCUUAGGGGGUGAGGCAGGUGCUUCAUCCCACGAGCCAGUGUUAAGGGAGUGGAGCAGUGAGCAGACAUUUGCCUGUGAAGAAAGAGGGAACAGUUCAUUUUUCCCAGAGGAGUCAAAGAAUCUGCAGUUAGUAGGACAGUCGGAGUUGGACCUUAAAGGAUAAUAUAAUAGUUUCUGGGAUGAUGUGAGAGAGAGCAGACAGUCCAAGCAAAGGGAUCAAUGUGUGCAGAGAUACAGACAAAUGAGUGGGCAUUUGCAAGGAGUGAGGAACAGCAAUUGGCCAUGGUCAUGGGGUGGGGUGCUGGACAGCCUGUGAGAAGGGCUGUCUGCUCUGCUCAAGUUGUAUGCUGAGUGCAGAGGGGUUGUUGAUUUUUGUCCUCAUUAUUUGUUUUAAAAUAAAUGUGUAUUUUAUUGAAGUAUAUCAUGGAUGUGUUGAAAAUUGUACGUGUUAUGUGUAGAGUUUGAAUGACCAUCUCAGGAUAAAUGCACCUGUGUAAUCCCCAUCCAGGUCAAGAGCAUUUUCAGCCCCCAGCGGGCUCCUCCAUCCUCUGCCCCACCUAAACCAGUCUUCUGCCUUCUAAUACUGUGCAUUAGUUUUGGAUGUUUUUGAAGCAUGAUACUACCAGAGACAUUCCUGUCUAUUUCUUGUAUGUUUUGAGGGGACAGAUCUAUUGGGUGUAUGCCCAGGAUCAGAACUGGUCAAGGGGCUGAGUGACAGGGUCAUAACUGUAACAGAACUGAACUGUGGCAGCAGGGUGAAGGCCACAGGGAAGAGCUGGGAAGCUGUGGCUGUGAUUCAGAGCCCCGCGAGUGCAAGAACCAUUACUAACUCUGACUGAUUUUGAUCUCCCCAGUGCCCCUCAUAAGAUUUCUUUGAAGCAUUUCCAGAGAGGGCAGUUGUGGCGGACAUUAAGACAGUUACCAUGACUUGGAUGCCAGGCUGUCAGGGAACACGGGGGGUUACUUAAGUCCCUGCUGGAAGACCAAGAAGGAUGCCUGGAGCCACAGUGGGCAGGGCAAAGGGUCUGUGCAAGGAAGGUCAAGUCUGGAAUCCUGAUUUUGAAGGGCCCAUGGGAUGUCAGGAUUCAGUCAGCAGUUGGGUAGGCAGGUGCAGUGCUCAGAAGACAGAUCUGAGCCAGAGAUGUCGAGCAUCACCAGCACAGAGCACAAUAUCUUCGUCAGAAAACCCUAACUCCAAGUGACUAGAGUCAUUUAGGAUUCCUAUAAAGAAGGCUACAGAUCAGACUGCUCUAGUACUUGUUAGUUCCCUGGAUUAACAGUGUCAGCGAGGAUCCAGGGUCCUACUGCUUUUCUGCUUUAGUCUUCCCUGUUAGUUGACUUUGUCCCAUAAUCGACCCCUGGUGGUUAUGUGGUGCCUGAUGUGUCUAGAUGUGACUUCUCAAGUCUCUGUGGCCAUCAUUGUGUCCCAGCCCACACCCACAUGACUGAUGCAAAGGUUCUCCUCCUGCCCUUCACCCCCUUAGGGCCGCUUGUUAAUGUAGGGAGGAUGGAGAUGGCUGUGGGUGAGGUCAUGUAGGGUGUGCAGUAGAAGGUGACUCAAGCCUUGGGAGGGAGAGGAAAUGGCAGGGAAGGAGAAUGAAGAUGAAGCAUGAAGGACUCAGGAUUAAUAGGUUAGGAGAUCUACAGCCUUUGGUCUCCUGACCUCUGGGAGCCACCGUUGGCAGAAAGCAGACUUGGAAUGGAUGGGUCAGGAACCAUGAGUGCCGCAGAGCAGUAAGUGGUUUGAUGCCAGCCUAACCUUACCCUUGGCUCGGUUCUGUCUGUUCUGUAACAGGGAGUUUCUCAACUGUGGAGUUAGAGGACAGACCUCUUGAAAACGAUGGACUGUUUUCUUGAGCAUCAGUUCCAUAAGGCUAUUACGUAACCCAAGGAUGGUCCAGAGUUGAAAAGCCUGUGUCCAUUUGGAAGAAUCAAGAAUUAUUGUUAGACCUUGGUAAAAUUUCUAGCUUUGCAGCCUGCCUAUCUGGAGAAAGGAAAUAAAAUUCUUUAAAUUAAAUAAUAUUAAGAAAAAGAGGUCAGGAGGAGGAAGAGGAGCCCUCAAUGGAGGCCAACAUGGAAUAAGCAGAGAGAAGGGUAGACUCAUAACUCCAUCAGAUCUGGGAUUGGAUUCUGAAUUUCCCAGCUUUGCCAAUGCGGUAAAAAGAAAGAGGGAACCGGCAGCCAUGAGUGCUCUUCCUCUCUCUGAGGACAUGAAGGACGCCUGACCCUUUCACUCCAGACCCUCAUUGGCCUGUGUUUGUGGAGGUUAAAGACCUAUUGACGUUGGUGCCACCCCUGGUGGGCCUGAAGGGGAACCUGGAAGUGACGCUGGCGUCACGACUCUCCACUGCUGCCAACACUGGACAAAUUGAUGACACCCAAGAACAGCACAGAGUUAUCAGCCAUAACCUCGCCCUCAUUCAGCAAUGAAGUUCCAAUCAAGUCUCAGUUCCAGCCCGACACCAGGUACUCUUUGGGGCCUUGCACAUGCAGCUGCAGCUGACCUGAUUGCAAUUCUGUGUGUAGAUGUCUGCCUUCUCCACUUGAGCCGAGUCACCUGUGCCAGGACCAUGGCCUAUGGCUGAAGAGCUUUGCAGAUUAAAUGAGAUGCUCGUGAUACCCUUAACAGAGAGGCUGGCAAGGGGCAGGUGUCUUGGCUGUUCUUGCACAUCUACUCAUCUUUGUGGAACUUAAGAUAAGUUGUCAAGUGCCAUGAGAAGUCUUGUUGGGACUUUCACUGGAAUCACGUGGGUUAACUUGGGGAACAUUUUCGUCCAUAUAUAUGGUAGAGUUCUUUGUUUUUUUAGGCUUCUUUAAUAAUACAGCAUGUUUCCAUUGAGACAUUUGAAUUACAGUUGAUCCUUGAACAAUAUGGGUUUGAACUGCAUGGGUCCACUUAUAGGCAGAUUUGUUUUCAUAAAUACAGUACUGUAAAUGUAUGAUUCCUUAUGAUGUUCUUAAUUUUGUUUUCUCUAGCUUACUUUAUUACGAGAAUACAGUAUAUAAUAUAGCAUACAAAAUAUGUGUGAAUCAAGUUUGUGUUAUGGGUAACACUUCUGAUCAGCAGUAGGCUGUUAGUAGUGAAGUUUUGAGGGAGUGACAAGUUAUACACAGGUUUUCAACUUUACACAGUGUCGGUGCCCCUAAUGCCAGUGUUGGUCAAGAGUCAACUGUACUGAUCACAUGCCAGUAUUGAUACUGAGAUCUGGGCACCUCAUGGUACUGGCCUGCAUGAGCAGCAGAGGUGUGAAGCCACUGAGAUGAGAUGGGAAUUGCAGCCGGGAUGGGGGAGAAUGGAGAGAAAGAGGGCCACCAGCAUGAAGGGCAAUUGCCAAGGAAGGAAAGUCUGGGAGAGAGACAGAGUGUGCACAGAGACUUCCAAGGCGUAGCUGUGGAUCGUGGAGUUUCCACAUUGCAGGAGAAGUUGCUUGUCUGAGCAGCUGGGGGUUACAGAGCACUUUUGCCCAGACCAGUGAGAGGAGCCACGAGCAAGAGACUGGUGGCCCUUGGCCAAGGGUUGAGUAGGAGGUGAAGAUUUCAUGAUGGAAAAUGGCAUCAAACAAGUUGCAGAACAAGAAAACAAUAGUUUUCAAGGGCGUUGGAUUAAAGCGAGGUGUUUGUUUUUUCCAGGUUGGAGGGGCUGUUGGCAAAUUUUAGGGUAAGGGAAGGAAGUUGGGUAACCUCAAGGUCAGAGAGGAGACAGAGGCAAAUGCAGGGAGGAACAAUGAUGGUCAGAGACACCUUUCCUCAUAUUUCUGAUUUCUGCCCUGACAGGUGCAGGCCACCGUUGUGGGGUUCCUGGCUGCUGUGGCUGCCCUGCUGCUGGGUGCUAUGUCUAGGGAGGAGAUGGACUUUGUGAAGGUGGAGUUGCUGUGUGCCAGCAGUGUCAUCACAGCCUUUCUCACCGCAUCUGCCUUAGGUGAGCUGUGCCCCCACCCCAGUUACCACCCCCUCCUAGCUCUCUCUGUCCUCCAUUCUUCAAUACUUUGCUCUCAACUCUUUGUGUUUUAGUUCCUUGAGAUGUGGAAAAUGGGUGCACUAAUGGUGGGGCCUCACAUGUCCUGCCAGAGGAUGGGGGAGAGCCUAUUAGUUAAGUCUCCAAGCCCCACCUUAUGGAUGGGCAAGGAGGACAAUGAGUCCUUUCCUAGGCAAUGUAUGUGUGCAGAAGUGAGCUGCUGACUCCAUUUCUCUUCCCUCUGCUUGUUCAGAGAACUGGCCUUUGCUCAGUUGACACAUUCAUCUGUUCAUCCACCCUUCAUCUAUUCAAUGUUUCUUGAGCACAGCUUGUGAAUGGGCCUGUGGAAGAUUCUGGCAUCUGCAGUCCUGUAGGGAGCAUUAGCUUCAAUUUCAUCUCUGCAGAGAGGUCUUUUCUGACUCACUCAAGUUCUGCCCUCUGCCCUUCUCCCCAGCUGCUGACAUGCUCUUCUGCACUAUGCACCUGUUUUCCUUAUUGAGCACUUACAAACAUCUGCAAUUGUUCAUUUUCUUCAUUCUUUUCUGUCUCACCCCUUUGCUAGAAUGUCAGCUCCUCAGAGAGGUGCCCUGUUAGAAUAGGGCUUCUCCUAUUCUGCUCCUGUCACACCGCCUGCCAUGCAUCAGAUGCUUCCUCCAUGUCUGCAGAAGGCGGAACACACAAGGAGUGACAACCCUGUCUUCAGGGAGCUCACUCAUCUCAGGGGCAACCAUGUUUGCCAUGCAAUUACCAUAGAAUGUCCCCCCAUUCGCUCCUUACUCAGUACUUACUGAGUGUCUACUGUGUGCCAGACACUGGUGCAGUGGAGGGGAUGCACUGGUGAGUAACUGCACUGUUUUGUGAUGUGUUCUGGUUUGGAGUGAGACAUCAGUAUGUAAGCACAUAGCAAAUUUCAGCUAAGUGCAAGUGUCUCCUUUUUGAAGCCUCUCUGAUCAGCUCUCUAGCAUCACCCCCCCCCCAUUCAUAGUCCUGCUUUCUUUUCAUGUCCUGUUUUUUACUUCAAAUCCUUGUUCACUUACUUGUGUGCUGUCUGUCCCUCCACCCAACAAGCAUUUACUGUUUGAGUCCAAAGCCUGAUGGCUAUUUUCAACACCUAAAAUAGGCAUAUUACCAGCUGCCAAAUGUUUGCUGAAUGAGCGGACUUCAUUUUGGUUCUCUUCUGGACUGCAUGUCUGAGUGUCUCUCGCAAACAAUGUGCAUGUAUAAGAAAGAAUAAGUGCUAACUGUGAAUUGGAUUUGCAUUUACCCUUCUGUUCUCCAUCUGACUGCUCAUGAAACACCUUUGAGCUCAACUCUCUGUAAGGAUAAUGUGGCAGGUUAUUUAGUGGUUUCUCUUCAUUCCUGUGCUAGUGUAUGUAAUCGGGAUGGAGGGUACGAGUGCAGAAACCCAGGAGCAAAUUCAUAAAUUGCACUUCCCUGGGCAGAGUGCUCCUGGUCAUGUACCUGUGCCUGUGCGCAUGGGGCAGGGGCUAGGGCGCCAUCACUCAGUCUGUCCAAGGGAAGAGAAGAAUGAGUAUGCCACACCUUGUGGAGAAAUAGAGCCCAAGAGAUACUUGAUAUGAAGUCUCCUCUGAAAACAACACAAUCCAGUGAUUCCAGAGGCCAGUCCUGUUCCUGUGGAGUCUUGUAGAGAAUGUCAUUCCUAGCUCCCCAUUUUCCAGAUGAGGAAAGUGAAGCAUAGAUGAGGGGUGAAGUUCAGCAGCAUGGACAUAAACUGGGUUGUCCAAAGAUGUGUAGAAGUUGAGGAGCAUGGCUGGUGGCUCAUAGUGUGACCUCAGCAUGACUGCUGUAAAGCCAGGUGGUGGGGUGGUUUUUAAUAAGUGCUCUCAAACUGGUGGUUUCGAUGUAGUCCCUGUUUUUCACCAGACCACCAGCCACACAGACUCAACCUCACUUAGAAUUGGCAUUUCAAAAGAGAUAAAGUAGCUAUGACCUGGUCACAAAAUAGGGCACAAACUGUGGUCAGUGGCAGCAGUGUUAGUAGGCCUUGAGGUGAUAAUUCUAAUUAUAUUUAGAGUUACAGAGUAGUGAGUAAAGUAUUUAAACACCAAGAGCCAAGAUACAAUGUGUCUUUUAAAAAAUGUUUAUUUAUUUAUUUUGAGAGAAAGAAAGAGUCAGUGGUGCGAGCUUAAGCAGGGGAGGGGUAGAGAGAGAGGGAGAGAGAGAGAGAAUGCCAGGCAGGCUCCGUGCUGUCAUCACAGAGCCUGACAUGGGGCUCGACCCCACAAACCAUGAGAUCAUGACCUGCGUCAAAACCAAGAGUUGGAUGCUUAACUGACUGAGCCACCCAGGAGCCCCCAGUGCUGUUGGAUUAAGUCCUAGGCAGUAGAUGAGGGCUGGAAGAUUGCAUGUGACAGUCAUCUCAGAACACAGUCAGAACACAAAAUAGGACCCAGGGAGGUAUAGUGGCCAUGAGAAUGUGUCUCUUGGGUUUCCAGUGCUACACCCAAAAAUUUACCCCCACUCCCCGCUGUUAGAGGUUAACCUGCUGCCUUCGCCCAGUGGUGGCCCUGCCAGGAUCCUGAGAUGGGUCUGUUCGCCAGAGAUGUGGACCUGCUGACAAUGCUGUGCUGUUGUCUGCAUGUGCUUCCCCUGCUUUCCUUCCUGUCUUCCACUGCGGGUGGCCUACAUGCCAUCUCGUGGCUCUCCCAACACCCCUGUGGCCCCCCAUUCCUCCUCACAGGCCUUGUCCCUAACAAACCUCUCAUGUGGCUAAUCCCACUGGGGCACCUGUGUCCCCAGGGACCCCGACAGACACAAGAUGCUGUGCUCUGCCCCUGGGGCUCUGUUGCUUAGAGUGGUUUUGGAGUCUUCUUCCUGUCAGGGAGCAGCUGCGAGCUUCACAUCUGUAGUUUCUGGUUUGGGAGCCCAGGAACUACCUCCCUGCUGUCUCCCCCAUGGGUUUGAGUGUAUCAUCAAAGCUUCCAGGCUGCUUCUUAACAUCACGCCUGCAAGUGACAGGGUCCACCCUACUGCAGGCUUCUCAGGCUUCAGAAUAGCGGGGAAACUGAGUGUUAGGGCAGCCUGGCUCAGGCGAGGGCUGUGUGGAUACAGAAAAGUUACUGAGCAGCCUCCUGACCACUUUCUCAUCCUGUGCUUUGAGUUUCCUCUGCCACCUCCCUGCAGGAAUGCUGAUGGUCUGCAUAGUAAUUGGUGCUCGGAAGCUUGGGGUCAAUCCAGACAACAACAUUUCCAUGCCCAUUGCUGCCAGCCUGGGAGACCUCAUCACGUUGUCCAUCCUGGCCUUUGUUAGCAGCUUCUUCUAUAAACACAAAGUUUUGGAGGGCUCAUCUUGAACAAAACCAUUUCUAAACAGCAAUUCCAAGGCAUGGCCAUAUUUACUCCCAUCAUAUGUGGUGUUGGUGGCAAUCUGGUGGCAAUUCAGACCAGCCGGAUCUCCACCUACCUGCACGUGUGGAGCACACCUGGUGUCCUACCCCUCUGGAUGAAACAAUACUGGCCUAACCCAUGCUCCACUUUCUGCACCUCAGAUCAACCCACUGUCAUUUGGCCUCUGAGUCUGUUGAAGAAGACUGUGCUGAUUAUCUUAUUGAGGUAAAUGUCAUAAAUGCUGUCUUCCUUCAGUAAGGUCAUUAACAAGAGUCAGCAGACCUCCUCCAGCUUCCUAAGACUUUUCUGUGAAGUCCAUAGCAUGAAGGGCUGGGAUCACACCAAUAUCAUAAAAAUGCUCCAGGUGACUGACAGUACAGAAACACUCUUCCUCAUCUCAGAGUACAUUAGUGGGGGUGACAUAUUUGGUUAUUUAUGGCUGCAUGACAGAGAAAGAGUCUCAAGGCAAAUUAUAGCAGCUAGUAUGCACUGUGCAGUACUGCCAGUGUCAUCAGCCUUCAGGGACCUGAAGCUGGAGAGCCUACUUUUUGGUGUUAACCUGAUCAUAAAAAUUGUAGACUUUGGCCUCAGCAAUGAGUUCACCAUCAUCCAUAAGCUGAACGUCUACUGUGGCAGACCCCACCCCCCAACUUAUGCUGCCUCAGAACUCUUCUGGCCCUGUGAUGGAUGUGUGGAUCCUGGGAACCAGUCUGUCACCAUGGUCACUGGUGCCCCUGCCUUUUGUGGGAGAGGACUUUUGGCAGCUAUGGAAGCAGAUCCUGAGGAGACAAUACCAUAUCCAAAAUUCUUCCCUCUUGAAUGUGAAAACCUCUUGAGAAAACUGAUGGUCCUCAACCCCAGUGACAGAAGAAUGUUAGAAGAUAUGAGAGAUCCAUAAUGUGGUGCAGGAGAAGGAACUCAGGCCUUACAAUGAGCCACUCCAUGACACCAAGGACCCUCAGGUGACUCAGGUGAUGAUGAACAUGGGCUAUGUGUGGGACUAGAUCUAGGACCCAUCAACAGCCUGGAAGUAUGACAGUGGGACGGCCAUCUCCUUGAUUUUGAGUUCUGAAAAACCCAAGAUGGAGGACCAUGCCAUCACAGCAAGGGCCUCCCCUUCUGCUGACUCCAUCAACUGCAAUCCUACCCAAACCCAGGAGGCUCAGCAGGUGUCAGAGGCAGUAGAAAAUGCUGCCGGCAUGAGCCAGCUAUACCUGCCUGGUUGUUCAGUAAAGAAACACAGAGGCCUGAAGGGGACCAGGAGACAGAGCAGAAGCACAUAGUGCCUGCCAUUCCCCACCCAGCCUGAAGUGAAGGAGCCCAUCUCCAGCACAGCAUCUCAGUGUGGCCCUGGAGCAUCCUCUGCCUCCAGUUCAGCCCCCAGUGUGGCCCUGGUACCUCCUACACCCAAGGCACUAGCAGCAGUAAUAAAGCCUUGGAGUGUGUUCUCAAAAGGAAACUCCUCCACACCAGGCAGCUUGAUGGUAUGACCCCACCCUCCUCCUUUGGCCAGAGCCAAGGCUGGCAUGGAGUGACCAUCAUGUUCCUCAUAUCUUAUUCUAAGACACUUGUGUUUUAGGCUGCCAAGCAAGAACCAGAAUGGCAAACAAAAUAAAGUCAGUUUAAUCUCUCAUGGGGGAUGGCCAAGGCAGGGAUCAAAUACUGGGGAGGUCGAGCCAUACUCUAUACAUUUUAAAUGGAAAGAAAAAAAGAUGCUGAGCUUCAGGGAGUCUGGCGACAUGGUACAGGAGAUUGGUCAGAGGCUGGAAGUGGUACAAGAAGACGCUGGGUGUGUAAGGGCACUUAGACCAGAGAACUUGGUUCCAUGGACAGAGAGGCUUUCAAACUGCUCUGGAGUUCUCUGCAUGGGAUUCAAAUCAAGAGGCUAUCCCACAUCUAUGGCCUACAAGAGGAGAGGUCGCUCUAGUUGCAGGUUCACCCCUCUGUCCCCGUCAUGACUGGGUUUUUCUUGGAACACUACUCCCCUCCCCUUCUCUUCUCUGUCUUUUCUUCCAUGUUUAGAAAAGGAGGGGGGAGUUCUACCAAAUCCUGUAAUAAAAGUUCCAGAAAGAUGUA
Felis catus (domestic cat) is the source of this 9857-nucleotide RNA transcript. It is a transcript of the gene named solute carrier family 41 member 3-like, with no coding region annotated. The transcript has 9 exons. The record is from RefSeq and is a predicted model, not a curated record. Lineage: Eukaryota; Metazoa; Chordata; Mammalia; Carnivora; Felidae.